Anolis sagrei ordinatus is the source of this 12922-nucleotide non-coding RNA. The record is from RefSeq and is a predicted model, not a curated record. Lineage: Eukaryota; Metazoa; Chordata; Lepidosauria; Squamata; Anolidae.
GCUUUUCCCGCUCAGAUCAUUUGGCAUUGCACCGUCGGAGGCACCUGCUUGUCUGAAAAAUGCUACCUUGUCCCCCUCCCCCCGAAAAAAAAAUAUGGCUAUUGCAAGGACCAGAUGUCACAGCCUUUGAAAAAGAACAAGCCUCCUGGACCUCCACUUCAUGUGCUGCUGCUUCUCUCAGUCUCUCUUUCUCUCUCUUUCUGUACUCUUUUCUCUCUUUUUAACUCUCAAAACACUUCAGAAUAUCAUCAUCCUAGAUUAUUGAGUAAUCAGCAAUCCACAAAAGCCAGCUAUAUGGACUAGAAGGAUGAGGGAAGAAAAUGAAGCUCUUGGAAGUGCAAGAAUUUCUCAGCACACUUAUGCAAUAAAUAUGGUGGUAUUUUUUACAUAUUUACCCCCUUCAUCCUUACAUUGGACUUUUGAGGCCCUUAUCAAAAUUUAAAUUUUGCUGUUCUUAAAUUCUCUUUCUUUUCUGGUAUUUUUUUUCAAAGCAAAAUCUGCAAAACUGGUAUCAGAAACAUUUCUGUGUGAAAUAACUCUCUUUUUGCUUGAUUUAGAAUAGGAAGAGGUAAUUAAAAUGUUCUGUCAUGGUUACAUAGUAGAACAAAUGUUAGAGCAGCCUUCCUCAACCUGGCAUCCUUCCCAGUUGGACAACAACCUCCAUCAAUGUAGCCACUGGCUAAGGAUAAUGGGGAUUGUAGUCCAACAAACUUCAAGGACAGCACACAAGGAAAUGCUGUGUUAUGUCCAUCCUCGUUAAGCCGAUGUUUCAACUGUCACUUUUUUAAUUGCAAGUUAAUGAAUGUUCAAAUGUUCAUGUAUGACUUGUUCUAUCAUCUUUUGAUUACUCUGUAGUUGGUGACCGACAAGCAAAUGUGUAAACUGUCUUCUUUGCAGCAGUACUGCCUCUCGGAAGAACCAAUGCUAUAAACCUGUCCUGUUUUUGCCUGAUGGCAUAUUCACAUCUGCAGGUCCAACAGUUAAUUGUGUUGAGCAUGAAUGUGACCACCACCUGUUUGGCCUACUUGAGUUUAUUUCCAAUGUAGUUGUAUUUAAGAAUGCAGUAUAUAAGAUCCAUUGAAAGGGAACUACAUAUUUCAGUAGUGAAAAAUAGGGGAGGGGAUGAGUGGCUUUUGGUUUAAUUCAAAAGGGUUCUGAACAAUUGCUGUUUUCCAGACACAGAGUCUCAUGAUAAAUCUUACUUGUGCUAGUGAGAAUUAGUAAGAAAUAAGGGUGUAGAACUCUUGUUGUUUUAUUAGCCAACACAAGGCCAGUUUAGAACAGCUUUCCUGUAUUUUUCAUCUUUCAGGACAUUUUUGCAAAAAUUUCAUUUGCAGAAGAAAACCUUGUAUUUUGUACAAAAUACAAAGGCUUAUGUCGGGAAAUUGGAUCUUGCAAAAUGCUAUAUAUUCUUGCAGAGGAGUGUUGUUGCACAAAAUACUGUGGGUUUUGCACAAUGUUUUUUGCAAAAAAAAUAUCCCAAAAUGUUAGAAAUAAAUGCACAAUACUUUUAGUAUCAUAUUGCGACAUAUCAAGACAUACCUAAUGGAAGAUAAGAACAAAGUCCUGCUGGAUGGAGGCCAGACUAGUAAGAUAAAUUACCAGAGUCGGUCAUUCUCAAAGUGUGCAGAAAGCGACUCUUUGGAGCUGAAGAGAUGUUCUGUACCCAUCAAGUAGUCGUAAAUUGGCAAUGCCUAGUGACUGAGACAGAUAAGUGAGUGGUAUCCAAAUAACAAUUCAGACGAGUUAUUUUGGCAGGUAAAGUCAAAUGUCCCACACCCACUUCUUCCCUAACAGUAUUAAAACGCAAUAACAAUAAAUGUAGGACCUAACCAUCCCCUUUUAAUUAUAUCUAAACAAUCUGCUGCCUGAGGUGGUCUCCUUCCAUCUAAAAGUAGGGCUUCUUGCUCUGAUCGAGUAAGAAGUAGCCACGUCUCCCUCCAUCUAUAACAGAUGAAGCACACUGCAUUUAAAAAACAUUCAGUUUGAUCCUUUCUGUUGGUUUGGUUGGCCAGUUUUCAUAAUUAAGAAGACUAAAGAGUGCAGCAUGAAGAGACUUCCCCCAACUUUCCAGGUGAAUUAUAACUGCUAUUCUCCUCAGCCUUAAACUGGAACUGGUGAAAGUUUUAGUCCAAUACAGUCCAAUACAUGCAGAAGGAACCAUGCACUAGACUAGACUAGAAUAUAAAUCGACAGAUUAAUUAUAAAUCUUAAGAAAUGUAUCAGAUACCUCUCUUGGGUGUCCUUUGAAACUAAAUGAGAAAGAAUUUGUUAGCAUACUCUUGUGUAGAUUCAACUCUGCAAAAAAGAAAAAGUCUCUUAAUCUCUUAAUUCAAAAAGCUUUGCUUUUAAUUAGCCAUACCAGAGGUCUUGGUCUGAUAUCUAAAAUACUGAACUUGUAUGGAAUUUGUCAUAUAUCCUCACAGAUGUUUCUUAAAGAUGAGAUAUUACAAAAUCACAGAAUCAAAAAGCAUUGUGUCUACAAGUCCUGGCCCAGUGCCUAUAACAGGGUCUUUUAUACUGGAAUAUAUAAAAGUUACACCACGGUCCUUCAGGCUUUCUACUAAUCGGAUGGACAGGAUUCAGCUGAAUUUAAAUUUCAUUUAUUUCAAUAAAGAGAGUGAAACAUGCUUCAGCUAUUAUUCACAUUAAUUAGGAUUUAAAAUUUAAUUGUUUGGAUAGUUCCCAAUGUGUACAUGGCAGCUCUUGGUGUUUUCGGGAAAAUGGGAAUUCAUUGCUACACCCUUUGUUGGACAAAAUUCAACAUGACAAAAACAGUUAGGGAAUGAGGUAACCUAGAAUAUUUUUGAACAUUACCAAUAUGUUAUCUUUAUUGAUCUGAAUUGAAUGGAACAAGAGACUGGUGACCUUUUGUACUUGAACAACUGAUGCCCAGUAUCACAGUCACAGCCCAAUUGCUCUCAUUAGACAAGUGUAGCUUGUCCAUUCUGUCCAAUGAGAAGAGAGGCAAAAGUGUAGUGUUUGGAAAUGUUUCCCUCUCAUAGAAGAGAAAGGGAAAUCCCUAUCUGUGUAUGGCUGUGGACACACAGUCUAUAUUUAUGUAUAUAGGCAGUCCCCGGGUUACAAACAUCCAACUUACGAACAACUCAUAUUUACAAAUGGGGGUGAGACAACAGAAAGUGAGAGAAAUAUACCCUAAGGGGAAUUCACUCCUAAAAGUUAUCAUGGGAAAAAGGUGUCUCAACUGAAGCUUUAUCACCAACCCUUGUUUCCACAACAAGCCACAUUUUUCAAAAUUCAAUUAUCGCAGGGACAGAAAGUGCAGUGAAAUCUUCUAAACAGGGGGACAGACCGCAAAACAAAAAACCCAGGGGUGACAACCCUUCCCUUUCGUAUCCAAAGCUAAAAAUCUAUAUAUUUUUGGCUGGUGUUACACUUAAAACAUGUACCUGUUCUGACUUAUAAACAAAUUUAACUUAAGAACAAACCUACAGAACUUACCAUGUUCAUAAGUUGGGGACUGCCUGUACCUGCUUCUUUCUCCAGCCAUUUAGCUGAGAAGGGUUAUUUCCAGAUAUACACAAAUUAUCCUUAACAGUGUCAAUCUCUCCCCCUUUGUAUUGGCUUAAAUUUAUUAAUCAUUCAUAAUGAAUAGGAAAAGUUUUUUGAAUUAAAAUGUGUUCCAAAACUUAAAAAACAAUGAUCAGUUUUUAUCAAAUGUCAGGGUUACAAUUUUUACUGUUUUAAUAAAUAAGACAAUUAGCAAUUACCACUAUUCAUUUUCAUUACUGUGUAAUCAGUGGAUAUGAAAGUGGAAUAACAUAAACUAGUCUGUCUCCCCUCCCCCCAUCCCAUAUCAUAGAAUCAUAAAGUUGGAAGAGACCUUGUGGGCUAUCCAGUCCAACCCCCCUGCCAAGAAGCAGGAAAAUUGCAUUCAAAGCACCCCCAACAGAUGACCAUAUUUUGCUUCUUGUUCUUUAGAAUAUUGUGAGAAAUAACUCUUAUAAAAUGUCAUCAGUAAUAGCUAAAUGGGAGCGACAUAUUCAGGCAUAUUAUGCUGCUAGUGAUCUGAAGCUGUAGACAAACAAGAAAAGAAGGCAAUCACUGCUAUGCCCUGCUUAUGUGUUUUUUUUUCAGACAUCUGUUGGAUGCUGGAAUGGAGGACCAGUUCUUAGUUCAAUUUAGAAAGGUGAUGUCUACCGCAAAUGACAUCAUAAUGCAGGUGUUAUAAUAGGAGCAAACAGCCGAUGCCUCCCAGCAUUCCACAUUCAUUGUUAUUUUUGUUUUCAACAUUAAAUGGCUUAUUACACCUUCUUUGGGAAUAAGGGGGGAUUUCACCAUGUUUUGCAUUAGGGGGGAGGUUCAGAACUUGAAAUAACCUUGGCUUAAAUCUAGUUAGCUGUGUGUACCACCCCAACUUCUGGAAUUGCUCAUUUCUGUGCUAGAACAAGGGAUGUAUACUUUGGUAGUGGACUGCUCUGCAAGGAAGCCAAUGGAAUGAUGAAUUAAUUAUCCCGUUGGCUAAAUCCAAGAAUGCUUAGAUAGAUGUUCAUUUGUUUGCUUGUCUUAUUAGGAUGAUAGAGCUCCAGUGCACAUGAACUUUCUUUAGUUGUGGCUGCUGCAUAGUAAGAUGCCCUUCUUGCCACUUUUGUUAGCCUCCAUGUUGUCUCUGUAACAUAUUUGAUAUCAAUUCAUCUGAUAUAUUAAUAUGGGUCAGUUUAUUUCAGUCUUGGGAUGUUACAGUAAUAAAUGUAUCCUAGUGUCAUUAGCUAAGCAACAUAAUGAGCCAGUUGAAUUUACUAAGCAAGAGAAUCACCUUCACAAAAGAAAAUGUGGAGGUCUUUGGAAUUUUUUAUAACUACUGUUAAAAGUAGCUCACCAUUUAAAAAGAAAAUAAAGAUUCCAUUGGGAAUGAAGAAAUAAUUCCAGUGUAUCACUUCUCCGAUUAUCUGUUUGUUAAAACAGAAAUGGGAGGUUCUCCCCCACCCCAGUACUUACGCAUAGUUACACUGAUGGGAAAGAGAAUCAUACAGAAAUACACAUUUCUUAAAAUUUCUUAUAACUUGUACCAAUAAAGCUGGGUGUAUGUUUGAAGCUACAGAAUGUUGAGAAAGAGUCACUUUUUGAUAAGUCUUCUCUUUAUAAAUUAUAUCAUGCAAGUAAAAAUUAUCCCUUAUUCGUUUCAUAGUAGCAUGACAUACACAAAUUAAAGUGGAAUUCUGUGCAUUGUGUCAGAGCAGAUGCAAUCUGACCAUUUUUAUAGAUUAUCAACAAAAUUUCUCCCAUCCCCCUUCACUGAAAAAAGUCCAGACUAAAAUAAACUUACAAUCAAAUCCCAUUGGCCUUAAUGUAGUUUUAGCCAUGACAUAGGGGAUGUCUAUGUUACACAACAGUAGCAGUUUUUACCCUCUUCACUACUACAAUCCUGAGAUUUGUACUUUGGUGCAAUGGUAAGAAGUCUUUUUUGAGAGCUCCAUUGCUGUACUUCGAGAGAAAGGGCUCAGCACUCACUAGUAAAGACAAUUCCAGAUUCCUCAACACUCUACAAAUCACUUAAUUCCAUAGGAUGGAGCAAUGACAGCUAAUGUGGCAUCAAACUACUGUAAUUAUGCAGUAUUGGCUUAUCAAUGGAAACUUGAUAAGCUAAAGUAUAUGUAAGUUCCAACAAUAAUGAUGACAUUGGAUAUACAUCCUUGGUAAUUCAGUGAGAUUGGAUAAACACCGCUAAUGAGAGAAUUACAGCAACAGUUAACAGCCUUCAGUAGAAAUCAGAAUGUAACAAGCAGGCUUAUAUGUGGAAAGAUGAACACACAUAGCCAAGGUUCCAACACUCAUGGAAACAAACAGCACAGUGUUAAGGGAGACCAUAAAGUACAUCCGUUCACACUCAGGUCUGAUUAGUAAUACUUAUUCUGUCUUCACAUUCACAACAGAGAGAUAAUAAAUUCCAUGCCUAUCCUUUCCUUUUAUCUGUUGGAGCUUCUGAUAGAAAUGUCCUGCAUCUAUACAUUGCUUCUCAGACAGCCUCCCUCUUCAGUCAUGCUACUGGUGGGCAAAAUGAAAACAUUUCCCCUAACCCGACUCCAGCAUAGCCUCAGCAUUACACUCAUUUUGCCCAUCACCCCCUCUAAACGAUUUCUUUACGAAGAUAAAACGAUGUAAGCAGAUCAUUGGGCUGUCAGUCAACGCAAGGAAAGGAGAGGCAGAUUUACUUCUACUCUGUCUCGCUGUGUCUACUUGGAUCUGUUCAGGAGAAUGCUAAGUGAUAGUUAGUGCUAGAGAUGCCAUAUUCAUCUUAAUAUUUCUCAGAAUUGUUAGCGAUUAAACUGGGAGAAGCUGUGGCCGAUGAUUCUUGCUUGGUUCUAUAUUGCAGCAAUACACCAUUUGGUGCAAAUGAGUUUUUGUGCAAGGGUGUCACUGAUAACUGGUACAUUCUUUGUUUGUUAAUAAGAACCAAGAUAACUUUCUAGUUUUGUGGGAAAUGGGUAUGUCUAAGCAAAAGUAUUAUAGCACAAUCCUCUCCGUAUCUGCGCAGAUACAGUGUUCAGUGGGGCUUACUCCCAUGCACGUAGGUAUAAAGUUGCAACCUCAGCAUCCCAUUUUUUCAAAUCAUUUGUUCUAUUUUUAUUUUCAAAAGAAGAAAUCACCUCAGUUCUGUUUUCUAGGUUCUUUUAAGAAGAAGCAGCAAUCCAUAUCCUUCUGCCCCCAUUAAUAUAUAUCUACGUGGCCCCACAUAUGUGCAUACAGCAAAUUGUGCUCAGAAUCAAAACUGAAUUAAACACUUUCAUUUUUUAAAAAAAGUUGGAAAUAGCUUUUCUUUAGCCUAAAAUAAUUUUACCUUAUUAGAAAACCAGCUUGUAUUACUGUAUUAUGCCUUUGCCUGUGUUUUAUAGAUGAAGAUGUAUAAACUUAAAACUGCUAUAUUUUCACAGUUUCAUUAAAAAAGAAAGCCUGUAAUCGUGCAAUGUGUACUCAACCAGUCAUGCCCAUUGGUGCUUUUAAAUAGGCUGACAAUUCAGUGCUUAGGGAAAUUACUUGUGUUUUGACUACGGCUCCCUGAAUCCUCCAACCAGCAUGGAUAAUGGGAAUUGUAGCCCAAAACAGUCCCUUUCCCAAGCUCUGGCUGACAUCCAGCUGAUUCAAGUACCAACACACUUUUUAGUAUGAAGCUCAAUUAUACAAAUACUAUCUCUUUACAGGAAAAGGAAAAGCAAAUAAAAGAAAAUAAAAUAAAAUUGAAGGUAUUUUACUGUACUUGUAACAGUUUCAAUAUUCUGUAAUAUAUUAUGUGAUAGUGAAAAAAUAUUUUCAAGCUCACGGUUUUUCACAGGAUGUAAAUAAUUGAAACGGAUGUUUUUGAAAUGGAUGCUUUAGUUGUCACCACCAAAAAGAAAUGUUCUCAAGAAAAUGUAUUGUAAAACCUUCAUGACUCCAUUGAUUAUUCUUUUUUUAAAAAAAAUGGGAAAGAAUGUUCUAGUUUGUCAAAGCAUGUUGUCAAUAUAUCAUUUACCCUAGCCACUUGCAUUUGUAUUUGCUAAGAUUGUGUCAAUGGUUAGCGGAGUGACAUCUACUUGUUUGGUAAAUCGCUUUGUAACUGAAGCCAGCCAGGAAUUCAAUAUUGGCAUGAGGGAAUAGGUAGUAAACUUUGACUGUUCAAAGAAAAUAAGUCAGAUAUCCUCUGUGCAAGAUCAUAAGUGCAUUUAGUCAUGUGGACCCUGGCCUUCUUCUGCAGAACAUUUCAAUGAUUUUAUCUAAGGAUAACCUUGAAUAAGGUCAUCCUUAGAUUUAAAAAAAGGUUAUCUAGAUAACAUAAGAUUAUCUAGAAAUAAUCUUAUGGCAUGUUUUUUUUUUAAAAAAAACAUUGUUAUUGUGCUGUUAUAGUUUUACAGACCAGAGUCCACUUUACUAGUUGUAUAUCAUUUAUACUGGAGGUGCAUCCAUUGUAAACAGUGAGGACAUAGGGAAUAGAAUACAAAAUGUAUGCAUAUAGUGAUUAAUACAAUAAUGCUUAGCUCUGCUCAACAUCAUUUCAGUGAUCAUUGUUGAUGACAAUGGGAAAGCCCGUUAUCCCAAUCCAAGCGAUAGGUGACAGAACACAACCUCCUAAUAAAGAAUAAUUCAGUCAUUUUCAUUCAAGAGACUACCACUGAUGUUCCUGGGUCAAAAGAUGGUAACUUUGAACUUGGCAGCAAAAUGCGCCGAGAGCUUGAAACAUUCUCCGAGUCAUUUGUCUAGGUAUGUGUGUGCAUCCAUUUAUUCUGUUGUUCAGAAACUGGUCUCCUCAAUUAAUUUAUCAAUGUCACAAAUUAUUGGCCAAGAUCCAGGGGACAUAAUGUCUCUCAUAGAUAUGUCUCUGUGGCUACAAUUCCCAAUACUAUCCCUUAAAACUCCACUUGGGAGCCAUGCCCCAUCAAUAACAAUUUCUGAGGAUCACAGAGCAGAAAGGGACAGAAUUUCAAUGUAUACAAUUACCAAAAAAAAGUUCAUUACCUUCAUAAAGUAAAGGUACGAUACUGUAAAUUAGGCAAUAUCUACACUGCCACAUAAAUCAGUUUGAAACUGCAGUAUAUGUUCAGUGAUGUAAUUCAAUGUAGAUCCAGCUUUAGUAAGAGGAUGGCAGUCAUUAUUUUGAAUUGGUGGCAAUGUUCACUGGAAUGGUUCUGUACUCAUUUAGGCGUCACUGCACAUUUUGCAUUUCUUAUUCCUAUGACUUCACUGCUCACUAUUCCAACAUAUAGAUGCAUGUAUAUAUCAGUGCAGGAUAACAUGCCAUGCAAUUGGUGAUCUAGAUUUCAGUCAAGAAAAAAUGAUGCUAUAGAAGAGGCAACAAGGACAAGAAAUGCCAGGACAUGCUAGUAGAAGGAACAUAGUUUUCUUCACGUCUUCCUGAUCCCAGUAAACUGGACCGAAUGACAUCAGUUAAUUUACCAGAUAGGAAAAUCGAGUAUCAUAAAAUGUUACUCGAUACACCCCAUACCACCAUGAAAUUGGUGGUAUGGGUGUAUUCAGUUCAUUGACUCCUGUCCAGAUUUCAGUGCACAUGGUGGCUUUCUCAUGCUGGUCAUAUAAGAAAAAGAGAAGCUCUUUCUACUCUUUUUGUACCAUAAAAGAACUGCACUUUUUUCCAGCAUUGAAAAAUAGUCAUGUAUGAAGCAGUUUCAGGAUCCAGGUAGAGUAGUGGUUCCCAACCAUUGUUCCUCCAGUUGUUUUGGAUUUCAACUCCCAGAAAUCCCAGCCAGUUAACCAGCUGUUAAGAAUUGUAGGAAUUGAAGUUCAGAACACCUGGAGGACCAAAGAUUGGGAAUCAUUGAAUCGAAGAAAGAUGUGUUGACACACUAUAGCACACUGUUUUUAACCAUCUAAUUGAGUAAGAUAGGAAAACCAUUAUAAGGAAAGAUUGUUUCUGGUACUAAAUAUGGUAGCUGUUGACUUUCCAUUAAAUUGAUAUUCUUUUGCAUUUCCUCCUGUAACUGCACAAUUGAAAAGGGUCACGCUGACCUGGAUCCAACAGAAUUUACACAUAUCAAUCGAACUGUCUAGCAAAAGGAUUGUUAGGCUGGUUCACACUUACUUAGGAUCCUUUUAAUAACCUCGUUCCCUCCCUCUGACAUGCAAAUAAAGACAAUGUGUGAUGCAAUUGUUCUUCACAUAAACCAGGAUGUCAUUAUUCUUCCUCAAGAAAAGGGGAAUUAAUGAGUCAGAAAGUUAUGAAUCAUUCCCAACAUGCCUCCUGCCUUGGAGGGGUGCGGAGAAUCAAUAUCCUGUGAAAGAGAAGUUGGGCACCAGCUCCUUCACUUUGUAAAUGAGAUCCUCAGUAAGUGAGUACACUGAACCAGUCUGAAGGGAUAUUUUGGGGAUGUCCACUCCAUUUUGCAAGAUUAGCAACAAUUUGAGUGCCUGUCUAUGAACAUUAGAACAGAUGAGGAUGUGCUCUAUACUCUUUACAUAGCAAUAAACUCCAGUUGCAUUGUCAUAAGGCUGUUUUCAAUUUGGGAAGGAAGGGGGUGAGAUGGCACUGGAUCCCUGUAGAUACAACAUGGCAAAUCACAAAGUGCCAUUUGUCUACUCUCUGUCUUUCCCUCGAUUUCUUUUUUUCCAACCUGAUGUGCUUUCUGUGAGUAGGAUUUCUAUAUACCUAAGAGAGAGAAAACAAAUUUACAGGAGGGAAGGUGCUUUUUUAUACUAUACAGUUAGAAUGUUAUGGUUCCACUUUAACUGCUGUGGAAACAUCCUGGAGAACCUGGAUAUUUUUUAAUGAAGGGAGAGAUAUUUCGAAUUCUCUCUUACAAUGUUCUAGUUCCCCACGCUACUAUAAAUCCUUGGAUUCCAUAGGAUGUUCCAUGACAGUUAAAGGGUAAUCAUAAUGCCAAAAUUCUGUAGUGUGAAAGAGCCCUUGGAAAGUAGCACCAGGCCCUUCUAAUUGUAGAUCCAUUACAAGCACCCUCUCCCUCUAUGAGUAGAUACUGUUUAACAUGUUUCUUUCAAAACAGACAAAAUUAUAACUAGCAUGAGAACAAUUGGUGCCAUUAAAAUGCAUUCCAUUAAUGAAUAUUACCGCUAAAAUGAAGUCUCUCUCCCUCUCCCCCCCCCCCUCUAUAUAUAUAUGACCAUUCUACCCUCACAUUCAGUCACAUAUUUUCCAACACAUUUGGAUUAGGUCAUCAACUUCUUAUUUCUCGGGAAGAUGAAAGAAGAUUCAUGCUACUCUGGAUGGACCACUCAUGUUGACAUAUGUGGUCAUUCCAUUGGUCUUUUGCUUCCAAAUUUAUGUAAUACUAUAUUAUGCCAAGUCUAACAUAACUCCUGAUUUGAGCAGAUGUUAUUCCCAAAUUGCAAUGAACAAGGCUGCACCCUUUUAAACCAACUGAGCAAUACCAUUUUUCUACAAUUUAAGAAAUAAGUAUCAAAGUGACAAAAUUGACAGGACUGUUCACUUUUUACAAAACUAUUUUUCCUUUGUCUUAGAACAUGCAAGCAGGCAAUAUUGAAUAUUUUGAAAACUUUGAGAGAUAUUUAAAUAAUUGUUACCAACUCUUAUUUAUACUGAAAGUUUAACUUUUUAAAAAAUGUGAUGAAUACAGGCUUUAAAAAAAUGUUCAUAUCUUAAAACUAUUUGAUUCGUAUUGUAUAAUUUUGCUGGCAUAUUGACUGUGCAAAAUAUUUCAUUGUCACCCCAUAAUUCAUUUCAGCCUCUGGCUUGUUUGCACAAACAAGGUUUAAUCAGAAAUGGAAAUUAGAUGAACACAGAGUUUACUCUCAGGUCAACAGGCAGUUGCCAGCCCCUAUUAAAUUAAUUGCUGGGUCGCAUUGUUUCAAUUGCCCCACACUAAUUUGGACCAGCAAUAAAAUAUUUGUAUCUCUAAAAUACCAUUGCCAUUUUCUUAGAGGAAGAACAGGGAACAUGUGGCCUCCCUGGUGUCAUCGGGCUGAGACGGCCAGUGUUGAAGGGCCAUGCAAUCUUCAAUCUGCGUAAUCUUUGGUAUGGACGUAAAUCAUUCAUCAGUGGAGGUCCACUUGGAUCUGUUUUCCUGGGGAAGUUUUCUUACAUAACCCUCAUUGAAGUAAUGGGGAAUAAGAAGGGAAACUUGGUAAUGAUUUUGGUGUGAACAUCCUGAAAGUGUAAAUGAAACAUCUUUGUGUUCCUGGCUGGAAAACUCAAAUUCACAAGCCCUUAACUCAGUCCCAUCUUGGGAAACUUAAUGGACUGCAAUACAACUAUUCACAUCAAUGUUCAACAAGCCCACAAAGCAACUUGUGAAUCCAUCCAAUGGAAUACAACCCACCAGAUCCCUUGGAAGUUCCAUAAUAUUCCUGAUUUUCCUGCUGCUAUGAGUUUUACAAAAAUGUGUAUGUAGGAGAAUGUUGAGAAGAACAUUCAUGACAUAUCCUGUGAGCUGUAAUAAGUUGGUGGACUCACAAGUCAGUGCAAUGCUACUCAUGCUCAUUAAAUGCAAUUGAGUUGUUUUUCUGUUGCUCCUCUGCUUAAAAACAACAACAACAAAAUCCAUUUGUGGCUUCUUUGCUGUACUUGUUCUCUUGCUAGGAAGAGGAAGGGAAGAGGAAAUGGUACCACAUGUGGGAACACAAAUUGAAAACUGGGGAAAGUCAAAUACAUUGAAAGAGGCAGUCAAAGGCUGGGAAAUGUAUGGUUAUCAAUUCUCAUUAAGGCAGCAACAACAACAAAAGCCAUCAAUUGGUGGACCAGGGGAGGAGAACAGGUGAAUGAAUUUUUAAAAACCCACUAAUCCUCAUAAAAUGAGGUAGUCAUUUGUACCAACUACAUAAAAUAGGAUGGAAGUUUCACAUCAAACUUUUUUGUGCAGCAUUUGAUUAUCUUUCUUUAGUAUGAGAUGCAGCAUAUAUCAUUCAGUAUCCGUACGCCUCAAAAAUGCCCCCAGAAUUGAGUAUGUCCAUGCUAGCAAACAAAACCAUAGCUUCUUCCAUUGUAAUUCAUUAUGUUUCAAAACAGUUUUAAGUACAAAUGUAUUUCCUUUUCCUUUUUUAAAAACAAGCAUUUAAUUUCCUAAUAGUUUCCUCCCUGUGCAUUUAUAUGCUACAUAGUGAUUAAGCAACACCUAUGUUAUAAGUUUAUUAAUGAUUAUGUACGUGUUGUUCUUGUAUUUAUGUAUAGUGUAUGUAUUGUAAAUAUACUCAGAGCUUUUCCUCUUCUUUACUGUAAAACGGUGAUUUUUUUCUCUUUAUUUUGUUUGCCCAGCCAUCAUUGUAAAGGGAGUUCCCCCCACUCAAGAAACCCCAUCAGAGGACAAUUACUUCAUGAAUUAAGUGUUAACGUUUUUAAUGGUGUCUCAGACAUUAUUCUGUUGGUGCAUUGCUUUUAUGUAUUCAACUUUUCCUAUGAAUUGAGCUGUGAAUUGAAAUAGAGUUUAAAUCUUUAAAUGUAUGCAUUGGUAUAAAUAUCUGAAUGGAGGCAUGAAGGAUAAAUAAAGCAUUUUGUAUGGAA